This 214-nucleotide long non-coding RNA is filed under the name Manacus vitellinus (golden-collared manakin). RNAcentral describes it as "lncRNA (ENSMVIG00005016491.1)". The record is from RNAcentral. Lineage: Eukaryota; Metazoa; Chordata; Aves; Passeriformes; Pipridae.
GAACAACACCCACGUGCAGGUACCAAGCUCCUGCUGCACCUGAAUUCAAUUGAUGCAAAGAAGCUGAAUUUAAAAUAUGCUCCAGAACAAAGCAAGGCCAGCUGGAGGAUUUCCUGCAGGAGAAAGGAAAAGCCUGGGGAGGCAGUGGGCCGGAAUGCUGAGCUGUGACACAUUCCUGCUGGCUGAUUAUGAACCUUUCUGCAGCAAGAUCUGA